GUCCUAGCCGUAAACGUUGGGUGCUAGGUGUGGGCGGACAUCGACCCCGUCCGUGCCGAAGCUAACGCAUUAAGCACCCCGCCUGGGGAGUACGGCCGCAAGGCUAAAACUCAAAGGAAUUGACGGGGCCCCGCACAAGCGGCGGAGCAUGUUGCUUAAUUCGAUGCAACGCGAAGAACCUUACCUGGGCUUGACAUGCAGGGUGAAACCCGUGAAAGCGGGCGCUCUUCGGAGCCUGCACAGGUGGUGCAUGGCUGUCGU
This 261-nucleotide ribosomal RNA is filed under the name uncultured bacterium. RNAcentral's name for it is "partial 16S ribosomal RNA". It matches the Rfam family "Bacterial small subunit ribosomal RNA", at positions 793 to 1055 of the family's 1533-position model. The record is from RNAcentral.